RNAcentral lists this ribosomal RNA (786 nucleotides) under Triticum aestivum (bread wheat). RNAcentral describes it as "partial small subunit ribosomal RNA". Lineage: Eukaryota; Viridiplantae; Streptophyta; Magnoliopsida; Poales; Poaceae. The record is from RNAcentral.
AUGGAAUCCUUCCUCCUUGAGUACGCCAUGAUGGCCGGCAACAACGUCAAGGCGCAGCGCGACCGCCUGCUGCAGCUCCAGCGCCGCCUGCAGCGCCUCCAGGCCGCCACCGCUGAAGACCACAACGCCAAGCUCGGGGUGCUCGCCAUGGACCUCUUCAAGGUCUACUACAUCGGCCUGGAGUACGGCGCCCGCACGCUCACCACCUGUAUCCGCUUCGCUCGCCAGAAAGGCGUUCUCCUCUCCCCGCCCACCAUGAAUUUCGCCGUCAUGAACGACGAGCAGCUCCACGACGCGCUGCUCGCGCAGCAGUUCCCGGCCCGCCCCACCACCCACACCCAGGCCAUCGACCGCGCCAUGGCCGCCCUCCUGGCCAUCAAGCUGUUGGAGGAGCACCUCCUCCCGCGCUGCGUCGAGUGCCUUGUCGGCGGCGAGGCCCCCGUCCCCGGCAGGCCCCGCGACCCAUCUCCCGACCCGGUCGCCGCCGACACCACCGAGGGCCUCGCCAACGCCGACCUCUCCGACGACCCGGACGCCACCGCCAAGACCGGAAGCAAGCCCCGUCACGCAGCCAGAGGAGGCGGCGGCGGCGAGGUGGAGAAGGCGCUGGACUACAUGUACCGCGCAAACAGGAUGGUGAGCCUCGCCGUGAAGCACAUCGACGUCUCCGUCGCCGUCCUCUCCCGCUUCCUCGACCCCAAGAAGCUCGCCAGCCUCACCGACUACUGCGACGACCACAUCUACAUCUCCGAGGAGGGACCCUAUCCAUCAUCCGAUUCCGAUUGA